RNAcentral lists this ribosomal RNA (502 nucleotides) under uncultured bacterium. Its description in RNAcentral is "partial 16S ribosomal RNA". It matches the Rfam family "Bacterial small subunit ribosomal RNA", at positions 28 to 507 of the family's 1533-position model. The record is from RNAcentral.
GACGAACGCUGGCGGCGUGCCUAAUACAUGCAAGUCGAACGAACCGCGACUGAGUGCUUGCACUUGGUCAAGGUGAGUGGCGAACGGGUGAGUAACACGUGGGUAACCUACCUCAUAGUGGGGGAUAACAGUCGGAAACGACUGCUAAUACCGCAUAGGACAUAGGAUCACAUGAUCCAGUGAGGAAAGGUGGCGCAAGCUAUCGCUAAGAGAUGGACCCGCGGUGCAUUAGCUAGUUGGUAGGGUAAAGGCCUACCAAGGCGAUGAUGCAUAGCCGACCUGAGAGGGUGAUCGGCCACAUUGGGACUGAGACACGGCCCAAACUCCUACGGGAGGAAGCAGUAGGGAAUCUUCCGCAAUGGACGAAAGUCUGACGGAGCAACGCCGCGUGAGUGAAGAAGGUCUUCGGAUCGUAAAGCUCUGUUGUUAGAGAAGAACAGCGCAUAGAGUACCUGCUAUGCGUGUGACGGUAUCUAACCAGAAAGCCACGGCUAACUACGUG